UCAGGAUGAACGCUAGCGGCAGGCUAACACAUGCAAGUCGAGGGGCAUCGGGAGUAGCAAUACUGCCGGCGACCGGCGCAAGGGUGCGUAACGCGUGAGCAACAUGCCCGUAUCAGGGGGAUAAUCCAUGGAAACGUGGUCUAAUACCCCAUAGUAAUUAUGUAAGGCAUCUUAUAUAAUUUAAAGCUUUGGUGGAUACGGAUUGGCUCGCGUGACAUUAGCUGGAUGGUAAGGUAACGGCUUACCAUGGCUACGAUGUCUAGGGGUUCUGAGAGGAAGGUCCCCCACACUGGAACUGAGACACGGUCCAGACUCCUACGGGAGGCAGCAGUGAGGAAUAUUGGACAAUGGAUGGAAAUCUGAUCCAGCCAUGCCGCGUGCAAGGAAGACGGCCCUAUGGGUUGUAAACUGCUUUUGUAUGGGAGCAAUAAGGGCUACGUGUAGUCCGAUGAGAGUACCAUACGAAUAAGCACCGGCUAACUCCGUGCCAGCCGCCGC
Molecule: ribosomal RNA, 498 nt
Filed under: uncultured bacterium
Lineage: Bacteria
Description: bacterial SSU rRNA
Rfam family: Bacterial small subunit ribosomal RNA
Source: RNAcentral